AGCUUUGCACAGUGGCAUUAUUCUAACCACUGGGGUUUAUCCAAGGUGUGAUUAUUGCUAAUUGAAAACUUUAUGAUAACUUUGAAUGUUUAUAUAGGUAAAUAACUGAUGAUGUUAUCAAUGAC
Molecule: small nuclear RNA, 125 nt
Organism: Fukomys damarensis (Damara mole-rat)
Lineage: Eukaryota; Metazoa; Chordata; Mammalia; Rodentia; Bathyergidae
Gene: U4
Rfam family: U4 spliceosomal RNA
About the family: U4 small nuclear RNA (U4 snRNA) is a component of the major U2-dependent spliceosome. The structure of U4 snRNA from yeast and human has been reported. U4 snRNA presents a k-turn RNA motif in the 5p-SL related to recognition of Snu13 protein.
Source: Ensembl